UGGGGAAUAUUGGACAAUGGGCGCAAGCCUGAUCCAGCCAUGCCGCGUGAGUGAUGAAGGCCCUAGGGUUGUAAAGCUCUUUCACCGGUGAAGAUAAUGACGGUAACCGGAGAAGAAGCCCCGGCUAACUUCGUGCCAGCAGCCGCGGUAAUACGAAGGGGGCUAGCGUUGUUCGGAAUUACUGGGCGUAAAGCGCACGUAGGCGGACAUUUAAGUCAGGGGUGAAAUCCCAGAGCUCAACUCUGGAACUGCCUNNGAUANUNGGUGUCUAGAGUAUGGAAGAGGUGAGUGGAAUUCCGAGUGUAGAGGUGAAAUUCGUAGAUAUUCGGGAGGAACACCAGUGGCGAAGGCGGCUCACUGGUCCAUUACUGACGCUGAGNUNCGAAAANCGUGGGGGAGCAAACAGGAUUAGAUACCCUGGNUAGGUNCACGCCGUAAANCGANUGAAACGUUUAGNCGUCGGGCAGUUUACUG
RNAcentral lists this ribosomal RNA (474 nucleotides) under Ensifer adhaerens. Its description in RNAcentral is "partial 16S ribosomal RNA". It matches the Rfam family "Bacterial small subunit ribosomal RNA", at positions 355 to 838 of the family's 1533-position model. The record is from RNAcentral. Lineage: Bacteria; Pseudomonadati; Pseudomonadota; Alphaproteobacteria; Hyphomicrobiales; Rhizobiaceae.